Molecule: ribosomal RNA, 246 nt
Filed under: uncultured bacterium
Lineage: Bacteria
Description: partial 16S ribosomal RNA
Rfam family: Bacterial small subunit ribosomal RNA
Source: RNAcentral
UACGUAGGGGGCAAGCGUUGUCCGGAUUUAUUGGGCGUAAAGAGCGUGUAGGCGGUUUGGUAGGUCCGUUGUGAAAACUCGAGGCUCAACCUCGAGACGUCGGUGGAAACCGUUUGGCUAGAGUCCGGAAGAGGAGAGUGGAAUUCCCGGUGUAGCGGUGAAAUGCGCAGAUAUCGGGAAGAACACCCGUGGCGAAGGCGGCUCUCUGGGACGGUACUGGACACUGAGGCGCGACAGCGUGGGGAG